This 482-nucleotide ribosomal RNA is filed under the name uncultured bacterium. Its description in RNAcentral is "partial 16S ribosomal RNA". It matches the Rfam family "Bacterial small subunit ribosomal RNA", at positions 30 to 506 of the family's 1533-position model. The record is from RNAcentral.
AUUGAACGCUGGCGGCAGGCCUAACACAUGCAAGUCGAGCGGAUGAAGGGAGCUUGCUCCUGGAUUCAGCGGCGGACGGGUGAGUAAUGCCUAGGAAUCUGCCUGGUAGUGGGGGAUAACGUCCGGAAACGGGCGCUAAUACCGCAUACGUCCUGAGGGAGAAAGUGGGGAUCUUCGGACCUCACGCUAUCAGGUGAGCCUAGGUCGGAUUAGCUAGUUGGUGGGGUAAAGGCCUACCAAGGCGACGAUCCGUAACUGGUCUGAGAGGAUGAUCAGUCACACUGGAACUGAGACACGGUCCAGACUCCUACGGGAGGCAGCAGUGGGGAAUAUUGGACAAUGGGCGAAAGCCUGAUCCAGCCAUGCCGCGUGUGUGAAGAAGGUCUUCGGAUUGUAAAGCACUUUAAGUUGGGAGGAAGGGCAGUAAGUUAAUACCUUGCUGUUUUGACGUUACCAACAGAAUAAGCACCGGCUAACUUCGU